GAUGAACGCUGACAGAAUGCUUAACACAUGCAAGUCUUUGGCGAAGCUGUGCUUGCACAGCCUAGCCAAGGCGGACGGGUGAGUAACGCGUAAGGAACUUGCCCUGCAGUCAGGGAUAACAGACGGAAACGACUGAUAAGACCUGGUAAAGUCAGGCGGACUCAUGUCCAGCCUGAUGAAAAGUGAUGCUGCAGGAGAGCCUUGCGUCCUAUUAGCUUGUUGGUGGGGUAACGGCCCACCAAGGCGAUGAUAGGUAGCCGGCCUGAGAGGGUGGACGGCCACAAGGGGACUGAGAUACGGCCCUUACUCCUACGGGAGGCAGCAGUGGGGAAUAUUGGACAAUGGGGGCAACCCUGAUCCAGCAAUUCUGUGUGCAAGAUGAAGGUUUUCGGAUUGUAAAGUGCUUUCAGCAGGGAAGAAAAAAAUGACGGUACCUGCAGAAGAAGCGACGGCUAAAUACGUG
This 463-nucleotide ribosomal RNA is filed under the name uncultured bacterium. RNAcentral's name for it is "partial 16S ribosomal RNA". It matches the Rfam family "Bacterial small subunit ribosomal RNA", at positions 28 to 507 of the family's 1533-position model. The record is from RNAcentral.